UUCAUCAGUAAGCUCCAUCUCAUCCUCCUUGUGAUUUUUGAUUCUUUCUGAAUGGGGAGGACUCUGCUCAUUUUCUAAAGGUGACACCGUCACUUCACCAACUUCUUUUUCCUCAAUAUUUUCCUCUCCUUCAUCUUCACUACUCAUGGGUUCAAAGAAUUCACCCAUUAACGUCUCUUCUUCUUCACUGUUAACCACAUGGAAUGGUUCAAUAUCUUCCUCCCAACCAUCUCGACUGUCUUUGUCCCAACCACUCUGACUUGUCAUAAUCUUGCACUCCCUCUUAGGGU
This 290-nucleotide long non-coding RNA is filed under the name Vigna radiata. RNAcentral's name for it is "long non-coding RNA (VRAD_LNC002859)". The record is from RNAcentral. Lineage: Eukaryota; Viridiplantae; Streptophyta; Magnoliopsida; Fabales; Fabaceae.